GGGAAUUGGCAUGGGCGAAGCCUGAUCCAGCAAUGCCGCGUGUGUGAAGAAGGCCUUAGGGUUGUAAAGCUCUUUCAGCGAGGGAAGAAACCCAGGUGCUCAUAUCGCUCUGUCCUGACGUUACCAUAGCAAGAAGCACCGGUAACUCCGUGCCAGCAGCCGCGGUAAUACAGUAGGGUGCGAGCGUUAAUCGGAAUUACUGGGCGUAAAGGGCGCGUAAGCGGCUCGAUAAGUCGGAUGUGAAAGCCCCGGGCUCAACCUGGGAACUGCGUUCAAUACUGUCGCGGCUAUAGUGUGGUAGAGGGAAGUGGAAUUCCCUGUGUAACGGUGAAAUGCGUAGAUAUCCGGAAGAACACCAGUGGCGAAGGCUGCUUCCUGGACCAACACUGACGCU
Molecule: ribosomal RNA, 394 nt
Filed under: uncultured Gammaproteobacteria bacterium
Lineage: Bacteria; Pseudomonadati; Pseudomonadota; Gammaproteobacteria
Description: bacterial SSU rRNA
Rfam family: Bacterial small subunit ribosomal RNA
Source: RNAcentral